GGAAUAUUGGACAAUGGCUGAAAAGCUGAUCCAGCCAUCCCGCGUGAAGGCAGAAGGUCCUCUGGAUUGUAAACUUCUUUUCUCUGAGAAGAAAAUACGGGUUUCUACCUUUACUGACGGUACCAGAGGAAUAAGCACCGGCUAACUUCGUCCCAGCAGCCGCGGUAAUACGGAGGGUGCAAGCGUUAUCCGGAUUCACUGGGUUUAAAGGGUGCGUAGGCGGGCUUGUAAGUCAGUGGUGAAAGCCCGGGGCUCAACUCCGGAACUGCCAUUGAUACUGCAAGCCUCGAGUACAGCUGAGGUGGGCGGAAUACAUCAUGUAGAGGUGAAAUUCUUAGAUAUGAUGUAGAACACCGAUUGCGAAGGCAGCUCACUAAAGUGUAACUGACGCUGAGGCACGAAAGCGUGGGGAUCAA
RNAcentral lists this ribosomal RNA (416 nucleotides) under uncultured bacterium. RNAcentral describes it as "bacterial SSU rRNA". It matches the Rfam family "Bacterial small subunit ribosomal RNA", at positions 358 to 771 of the family's 1533-position model. The record is from RNAcentral.